Syngnathus typhle (broad-nosed pipefish) is the source of this 2771-nucleotide long non-coding RNA. RefSeq lists it as uncharacterized. The transcript has 3 exons. NCBI's taxonomy places the organism in Eukaryota, Metazoa, Chordata, Actinopteri, Syngnathiformes, Syngnathidae. The record is from RefSeq and is a predicted model, not a curated record.
UGUAGCGUUAUCUUGAAGUCAUGGACCAUCACCAGAUCUUGGUAUGUGGCGAUUUUAACGAAGAUGCGCUCUCUGCCUCGUACAAGCCCGUCCUUGAAUUGUUUUGCUCAAAGGGUUACACGCAGCUCAUAACCACUGCUACCACUGACAAAAACACAUUGAUCGACCUAAUUUUUGUCUCUCGACCUCAGUGUGCUCUUUAUUCAGGUGUCCUGCAAACGUACUACAGCUAUCAUAAUCCUGUUUUCUGUGUCUUGAAUACUGAAAGGUAAGUCAAAUCUAAAUUGUGUAUUUCAGCAUUUGGGAAAUUAACAAGGACGGAAAUCAGAUGGCGUAAGUGGCGGUGCGCGGUGGGCGAUUUGUUGAAUUGAGAUGAGAUGGUAUCGGAGGCGUAGGUGGCUCAGAAAGGCAAAUGUAAUGUUGGCGUUGGGCAGAAACCUCACAAUUAUAUAGAAAAAAAUACUAACGACCAAUGUGAAUAGUGAUGCGCUUUAUAUUUUACGCUGAACUCGUGUCUGUGGAUGUAAAUCAAGUUGAGUUAAGGGAAGGCGCUCAACCAGCUGGGAAGCUGCACCUUCUUGGGCCGCCCAUGCAUGUGGCAGUAUGGGCAGCUGCUGGGCAAAAGACCCUCUGAGGGUGGCGAGGGGACGGCACGGCCGUUGACACCUAAAUAAGACUUGCGGAAAUAACUGCUAGUCUACUCGUCUGCGGGAUGGAUGGAAGAGUCCAUCUCAUCGUCCAUCAAAAGGAAGGCUUUUAAAAUUUUAAAAAGCCCUCCCUUAACUCAACUUGAUUUAAAUUUUAAACUUUUAGAAAUUUGAACUAUUUAAAUAUUUAACUUUCAAACUUUUUAACUUUUAAUAUGUUUAACUUUUGUAAAUGAACUCACGGAUGAUCUAAGAGGCGACUUUUUAACUUUUUGCGUUUUAUUCGUUCUAACGUCAAAUUUGAAAGAUGACUUCAGGAAUGGACUUUUAAAGUUUUUAACUUUUAAAAUGUUUACAUUUUCUAAAUUAACUCCCAGAUGAGUUAAGGGGUGACUUUUUAAACUUUUUAAUUCUAAUGCUAGAAUCAAAUUUUAAAGAUGACUUCAGGAAAGGCCUUUUAAACUUUAUUUUUUUAUCAUUAUUUUCAAUUCUUUUUAACGUCAUAAUCACGAGGCGAGAACGGAAAACAGACGAGGUAAGUUGCUCAUCAAUAAACAUGUGUUUUCCCUUUCUAAAAACACUAAAUGCUUCUAUUUCACUCUUCUCUAUUUUCAGAGUUUCUUUUAUCUGGCGAAAGCAGUUCGACCCACAAUGGAGGCCAGAGGUAAACAUUCUCCACAAAGACCUUGAGUAUGCAAAAACUUCCAGCGUGGACCAAUGACUCCCAAACCAGGGAGGCGAGAAGCAAGACUUAUUCUUCUUUUUUCCUGUAACUCCACAUGCUCCAUUUGUCAAGACGGGAGUUUGGCCCCUGCGGUGCUCAACCUUGAUGGGAUUUGGCCUGUCUUGCCAGAGAAAUGACACAGCACAGCGACAGCCAAGUCUUUCAAAAAGACUCGUACGAUGGAGGCCAGCAUCAUGGAACGCAAACUCCCAAACCAACGUGGCAAUCGUGACUUCUGCUGAUUCUUCUAUGGAACAAUCAAGGGCACCUCUGGCAGCUCUUUGCUUUGACUCUGACAUCUACCUUUUUUAUUUUUAACAUGCUGUCUUUCAUGUGCCUUCUCUGCAUCCAUUGCAGCCUGGUGAUCCUGAAAGGGGGAUCCUCCCAUCUGUGGUCCCUUCUCAAGGUUUCUCAUUUUUCCCCUGGUGUUUUUUUUUUUGAGUUUUUCCUUGCCCUUUUGGAAGCUUAAGAUCAGGGGGUGCUUUGAGAAUAAUUGCCAAUUUGUCUAUGCGAAGCCCUUUGAGACUGCUUGUGAUUUAGGGCUAUGUAAAUAUAUUUUACUUGACUUGACUUCUAUGAGUAGCCAGCGAGGAAAAUUGUCCCUUUUUAGUUUUGCUGCUUUUCCUCACCUCCAUGUUUUUAUCGUAUCUUCUUGGGUAUUGCCUGGCCUUUGACUGUUGGAAACUUGUCCCUUUGGCUUUACUCUAUUAAGUCUCAGAUACGUACAGUCUGUUUUCUGUUCUCCUUUAUUUAUGUAUUUAUUUGUUUAUUUGUUUGAUUGCUUAUUUAUUGUUUAAUCGUACUUUUAUUUGGUUACUUUUUCGGCAAUGCUUUGAACUCUGAAGUUGUAAUCAUUUUGAUUUGCACAAUUGUUGAACUUUAUACAUUUCUUUGCCUCAAACCAUGUUUACAUUAUCUUUUGUAUAUGUAUCCCAAGUCUGUCUAAUACCAUCUCCAAUCAUGCUACAGUUGAAUUAUUAAAUAAAUUAAAAAAAAACACUUGUUGUGUUUAUGCAGAGUAGAGAUGAACGCUAAUGUACUUUUUUAUUCAGCAACUUUUUAUUUUUCCCCACUUGUCUCACAUAGCAGUACAAUCUCUCUUGCGCACCACAGCGCACCCCACUGACAAUAUUAUGCAAGACCUCCUCUAACGCACUAUAUAUAUGUAUUAUAGUUUCAACAUGUCAAGGCGUCUGGAAAAAAAAAAGGGAAUUGACUUUGUUUCCUACUUCUGGAUUUUAUUCACAUUGCUGUGAUUGUUUGCAGCAAUGGGUCCUAAUUUAUUAGUCUUUGGUAUGACCUGGCUGGGUUUUGAACUCAUAACCUUCCGGUUCCAGGGUGGACAUUCUACCACUAGGCCACUGAGCUGGAGCUUUUGUGUUGUUUUUAGUUUAUAUAAA